Molecule: ribosomal RNA, 465 nt
Filed under: uncultured bacterium
Lineage: Bacteria
Description: partial 16S ribosomal RNA
Rfam family: Bacterial small subunit ribosomal RNA
Source: RNAcentral
GACGAACGCUGGCGGCGUGCUUAACACAUGCAAGUCGAACGGAAAGGCCCUGCUUGCAGGGUACUCGAGUGGCGAACGGGUGAGUAACACGUGGGUGAUCUGCCCUGCACUUCGGGAUAAGCCUGGGAAACUGGGUCUAAUACCGGAUAGGAGCCAUUUUUAGUGUGAUGGUUGGAAAGUUUUUUCGGUGUAGGAUGAGCUCGCGGCCUAUCAGCUUGUUGGUGGGGUAAUGGCCUACCAAGGCGGCGACGGGUAGCCGGCCUGAGAGGGUGGACGGCCACAUUGGGACUGAGAGACAGCCCAGACUCCUACGGGAGGCAGCAGUGGGGAAUAUUGCACAAUGGGCGCAAGCCUGAUGCAGCGACGCCGCGGGGGGGAUGACGGCCUUCGGGUUGUAAACUCCGUUCGCUAGGGACGAAGCUUUUUGUGACGGUACCUAGAUAAGAAGCACCGGCUAACUACGUG